CCAAUAGCGUAUAUUAAAGUUGUUGCAGUUAAAAAGCUCGUAGUUGAAUUUCGGGAUUGACACAUCGGUCGUGCCUUAAGGGGUAUGAACUGGUGUAGUCAAUUUCUCACCUUCUGGAGAACCACGAUGCCCUUAAUUGGGUGUCGCGGGGAACCAGGACCUUUACUUUGAAAAAAUUAGAGUGUUUAAAGCAGGCAUUUUGCUUGAAUACAUUAGCAUG
RNAcentral lists this ribosomal RNA (220 nucleotides) under uncultured Entrophospora. Its description in RNAcentral is "uncultured Claroideoglomus partial small subunit ribosomal RNA". It matches the Rfam family "Eukaryotic small subunit ribosomal RNA", at positions 591 to 811 of the family's 1831-position model. Lineage: Eukaryota; Fungi; Glomeromycota; Glomeromycetes; Entrophosporales; Entrophosporaceae. The record is from RNAcentral.